CCUAUAUAGUUUGGUUUCUCCCCUCACUCCUGGCCAGAUCAUUGUCUCUUCUCUCCUGUUUCCCUGGUUCCUGGUUCCCUGUGAUUCUGGCUCCUGACUCCUUGAUCCUGCAUACUGUUCCUUGGUCCUGUGUCCUGCGCUCCAGGUCUUCGUUCCUGUGUUCUCCUGGUCUUCGUCCUGUGUCCUCUUGAUCCUGCGUUAUUGUGUCCUCCUGGUCCUUCGUUCCUGUACCCUCCGAUCCUGUGUUCUGGUUCCGUGUUCUCGGCUUUAUUACCAGUGAUCCUG
Molecule: non-coding RNA, 285 nt
Organism: Pelobates cultripes (western spadefoot toad)
Lineage: Eukaryota; Metazoa; Chordata; Amphibia; Anura; Pelobatidae
Source: the annotation of a GenBank genome assembly